This 404-nucleotide ribosomal RNA is filed under the name Actinomycetes bacterium. Its description in RNAcentral is "Actinobacteria bacterium partial 16S ribosomal RNA". It matches the Rfam family "Bacterial small subunit ribosomal RNA", at positions 355 to 776 of the family's 1533-position model. Lineage: Bacteria; Bacillati; Actinomycetota; Actinomycetes. The record is from RNAcentral.
UGGGGAAUAUUGGACAAUGGGCGCAAGCCUGAUCCAGCCAUGCCGCGUGAGUGAUGAAGGCCCUAGGGUUGUAAAGCUCUUUCACCGGUGAAGAUAAUGACGGUAACCGGAGAAGAAGCCCCAGCUAACUUCGUGCCAGCAGCCGCGGUAAUACGAAGGGGGCUAGCGUUGUUCGGAUUUACUGGGCGUAAAGCGCACGUAGGCGGACUAUUAAGUCAGGGGUGAAAUCCCGGGGCUCAACCCCGGAACUGCCUUUGAUACUGGUAGUCUUGAGUUCGAGAGAGGUGAGUGGAAUUCCGAGUGUAGAGGUGAAAUUCGUAGAUAUUCGGAGGAACACCAGUGGCGAAGGCGGCUCACUGGCUCGAUACUGACGCUGAGGUGCGAAAGCGUGGGGAGCAAACAGG